UACAGAGGUCUCAAGCGUUGUUCGGAUUCAUUGGGCGUAAAGGGCGCGUAGGCGGGUGUCCAAGUCAGGGGUGAAAUCCUCCAGCUUAACUGGAGAACUGCCUGUGAUACUGGACGUCUGGAGUGAGGUAGGGGCAUGUGGAACUUCCGGUGGAGCGGUGAAAUGCGUAGAUAUCGGAAGGAACACCGGUGGCGAAGGCGGCAUGCUGGACCUCAACUGACGCUGAGGCGCGAAAGCCAGGGGAGCAAACGGG
This 253-nucleotide ribosomal RNA is filed under the name uncultured bacterium. Its description in RNAcentral is "partial 16S ribosomal RNA". It matches the Rfam family "Bacterial small subunit ribosomal RNA", at positions 524 to 776 of the family's 1533-position model. The record is from RNAcentral.